AUGUUCUCUCAGACUCUGGGUAAAUUCAGUUUUUAGUUUCAAACUUUAAUGUAAAUGUUUUAAAAAAAACAUAAAACAAAGGAGAAUCUGCAGUUCCUGUAUCAGCCAGGAGGCGUCACUGUUUGUUCGUGUAUGGAAAUAGAUUUUUCAGAAAUGAUUAAUUUAAAAUUAAAACAUAGAUCAGACCAAGUUGUCAGGGGAGAAUCUACAUGGACCCCAUGUUGCUGAACAGAACCAGUGAGACCCCCCACCGCCACGCUGAAUAAGGUGUGGGCGGAAGUCUGAGCUGGAAAUGAAGGAAGAGACUAGCAGUUUCUGUCCAACAGGUUCCAGAAACAUGAGGAGUUCACUGACAUCCGUUGAACAUAGUUCUGUCCUCCACCUAAAUGACUGUCUGUUCAUUCCUGAAACACGCUGAGGUCACAUGACCUCCAUCUAGGAAGUGAAAGAUAUUACAACUAAAAUUAGCUCAGUCCAAGAAGACAUAUGAACAAGAAGAAAACAUAAUAAAAUAUUUGAUAUAUGAAUAAAAGCAUAGUAAAUAUUUUAAUUCAUAAAUGGGACAAUUAUAAAAUGUUAUGCAAAUCUGACACUAAAAACAAAAGGAUAAAAUAAUCAUACAAAGGAAAACAAAAUUCAAGACUUAAGAAAUAGUUGACUGAAGUUAAAUUUAAACAGGAGAAAAAGAUGACAUAAAAAUUAAAGAUUAAUUAAAUAUUAACAAACGGAAAGAAAUAAAAUAUCAAAUCAUCAAAAUAAAAAUAAGAUAUGUUAUUAAAAAGCAAAUAAAUCUAUCUUCCUUUGAGAAGAAUGAAAACAAGACAGCACAAUAUUUAUUUAUCAAAUAUAUAAAAACUAAUUUCAUAAAAGACAAAAUAUGCGCAGUAUUAAAACUAAUGUGUAUAAAAACGAAUUUAAAUAAUACAAAAUGUUUGCUGAAUAUUUGCCACUUUUUGAAUCGUUUGCACAUUGUUUUGACUUUUUGCACUCGGUUUUAACAACAUGCACAUCUUUUAUUCUCUAUCUACACAAGUUUAUAUCUAAAUAUGUUCGUACACUGUUGAGAAUUUUUGUAUAGUCUGUUGUUUUACAUUGUUGCUGUUUUUCUGCACCGAUUUCCAAAAAUGGGCAUUAAUUCCUGGUUCUGGUUCUGAUUCUGAUAAAGUUAUCUGAAUUUGAUGACAUAGGAACAAGAGACAAACUUCUGAAAUACUGAAUAAUAAACACAAAUCAAAACAUCACAUAUUUACAAAAUAAUUGUUAUAUGAUGGGGUAAACAUGAACAGGUAUCAAAUAUAAAAUAAAUGUUUUGCACAUCAACAAAAAACAUUUUUUUUAAAAUAUAGAAAUCUGAGACAAAAAGAAAACCUACUUUUAAGUAUUCAGAAUUUUCACACAAGAGGAGGAGGCGUUGUCAGGAGAGUCCCACCUGUGAUGACCUGCAUAGAGAAUGAACAGAGAGAGAGAGGGAGUGUCGGCAGGUAGAACAGGUUUGGGUGAGGUGGCUCACAGCGCCCCGAGAGACUCAGUGAAGCAGAGAGAGAGAGCUGAGUCAGAUUUGUUGUUUUGUUCAAGUAAAUCUUUAUUUUUUCUGCAGCUCAGAAAAAAACUGAAUUAAUUCCUGGCAGAAGAAGAAGCCAGAGGAGGUGGACUGUUUAAAGGAAAGAAAGAAAAGAAGAAGACGAAGGUGGACGCAUCUGUGAACGGACUGGCUGUUCUGCCCUGCCCUCCUGUGACAUCAUCAAUAUGUCAUCAAAUAUCAACAUCUCCUUGGAAAACCCGUAUGGUCAGGUGACUAUCCCUAGGGCCAAGCUCCGCCUAUCAGAAGAUGCAACAGUGAUAACCAACCCAGUGGCUCUGAACAGCGAGAACCCGUACGCUCAGAAGGGGUCUGACCCCCCACCGUACACGGUGAAGGAGGAUGGCGGUGAGGAGGAGGGGGGGCGGUGCCAAGCGUGUUGCUACCGCUGCCGGAGGAGGAAGUGAUGACGCUCUGGCAGGGGGACUGUGAUUGGCUCAUUAGAAGAUAUUCCGUUUCAGGGCUGAUCAUAUUUGCAAUUCCUCUAAUAGAUCACAUCUGCAACGUUAGAACCACCAAAACAAGUCCUUCCCAACAGACCACUCAGAACCACAGUUUUAGGGUACACCCAGUGCCUGACCAGAGACUGUGUAGCACCAGGAAAAUGAUUCUGAAUCCUUCAAUGUUCCUGAACACUAAACAAAGAAUCUAGAGACUAUGUAGAUCCCAUUGUGGAGAUUUCUGCAGACCUUGGAGACUCUGUACGGAAUUUAAUGAUGCUGACUCCUUCAAAGGCUGCAAGGACUUUAGAGAUCCUGAAAACUGUUAAUAACAUACUUGGGUCUGUAGAUCCUGAAUGUUCUGAAGAAAGGUAAAACCUGAAUAUGCUACAGAACGCAGACACUGACACUUUGAAAAACCUGGAGAUUUCUAAAAAGCCAGGAACUCACCCAGGAGGAGUUUUAGGACACCAAAGAUUUAAAAAACUUUGCAGUUGGACUUUGAGGAACACCAGGACUGUUUUUGUACUUCUGGUUUUGUUUAGAUUUUUAUUUCCUUCAGAAAGCUUCAAAUACAAUAUGGCUGCCUUUCUGUUGUUGCCAUGACGACUCCACCUGAAAGUUGAAAGUUUUCUGUUACAGCUUUAAAUAAUUUUAACAAAAAUAUAUUUUUAAUUUCAUUUAUCGGAUCCCAUUUAGUUCUGAAAAAUAUUUUUUUUAUGUUAGCUCAGCAGUAAGUUUUUACUUUGCUGAGCCGAUUUGUUCCCCAGUUGCAGAAGGAAAACAAACAGCUUCAUUUAAGUCAAAUAUUCCUAUCAAAAACAGCCAACAAAUGAGUGAUCACCCUACAAAGCUGGAAAAAUGGCUGUAAAACAAACCGUGAAUUAAAACGGUUUUAAUUGACGGUUUGUUUUACAGCCAUUUUUCAGAGAUUUGUUCAUUUUGUUGCUGCUGUUUUUGGUGAAAGGUUUGUGUUUUAUUUCUGGAUUCAGAAAAACAUGUUUUUCCAUAAAGUAUUUCUGUUUUCUGUGCAUGAAGGAGUUUUAGAAGUAUAAAUAUCUGAAGUUAUUGUAGAUGAUAACCCAAAUAAACCAAUAAUUUACA
Molecule: long non-coding RNA, 3123 nt
Organism: Girardinichthys multiradiatus
Lineage: Eukaryota; Metazoa; Chordata; Actinopteri; Cyprinodontiformes; Goodeidae
Exons: 2
Source: RefSeq, a predicted model, not a curated record